RNAcentral lists this non-coding RNA (69 nucleotides) under Lacticaseibacillus saniviri. The record is from RNAcentral. Lineage: Bacteria; Bacillati; Bacillota; Bacilli; Lactobacillales; Lactobacillaceae.
CAAGUCAGAAAUGGCUGGUUAAGUGUACAGGAGUCAGCCGAGGUCAUAGUAGUGGGUAACCAUGAAGGA